GACGAACGCUGGCGGCGUGCUUAACACAUGCAAGUCGAACGGAAAGGCCUCUUUCGGGGGGUACUCGAGUGGCGAACGGGUGAGUAACACGUGAGUAACCUGCCCUUGACUUUGGGAUAACUUCAGGAAACUGGGGCUAAUACCGGAUAGGAGCUCCUGCUGCAUGGUGGGGGUUGGAAAGUUUCGGCGGUUGGGGAUGGACUCGCGGCUUAUCAGCUUGUUUGUGGGGUAGUGGCUUACCAAGGCUUUGACGGGUAGCCGGCCUGAGAGGGUGACCGGCCACAUUGGGACUGAGGUACGGCCCAGACUCCAACGGGAGGCAGCAGUGGGAAAUAUUGCACAAUGGGUGGAAGCCUGAUGCAGCAACGCCGUGUUCGGGAUGACGUCCUUCGGGUUGUAAACCGCUUUCGCUCAUGACGAAGCUUUGUGUGACGGUAGUGGGUAAAGAAGCACCGGCUAACUACGU
Molecule: ribosomal RNA, 466 nt
Filed under: uncultured bacterium
Lineage: Bacteria
Description: partial 16S ribosomal RNA
Rfam family: Bacterial small subunit ribosomal RNA
Source: RNAcentral